Molecule: ribosomal RNA, 466 nt
Filed under: uncultured bacterium
Lineage: Bacteria
Description: bacterial SSU rRNA
Rfam family: Bacterial small subunit ribosomal RNA
Source: RNAcentral
UCGGGAAUUUUGGGCAAUGGAGGGAACUCUGACCCAGCCAUGCCGCGUGCAGGAUGAAGGCGUUAUGCGUUGUAAACUGCUUUUAUAUAGGAAGAAAUAGUCCUUGCGAGGAAAGUUGACGGUACUAUAUGAAUAAGCACCGGCUAACUCCGUGCCAGCAGCCGCGGCAAUACGGAGGGUGCAAGCGUUGUCCGGAUUUAUUGGGUUUAAAGGGUGCGUAGGCGGUUUAUUAAGUCAGUGGUGAAAGACGGUCGCUCAACGAUUGCAGUGCCAUUGAUACUGGUAGACUUGAGUAUGAUUGAGGUAGCUGGAAUGGAUAGUGUAGCGGUGAAAUGCAUAGAUAUUAUCCAGAACACCAAUUGCGUAGGCAAGUUACUAAGUCAUAACUGACGCUGAGGCACGAAAGUGUGGGUAUCAAACAGGAUUAGAUACCCCUGUAGUCCCUGAGCGGGCUGGCAAGGCGCAU